UGCCCCCAAGAAGCCCACAG
RNAcentral lists this unclassified non-coding RNA (20 nucleotides) under Mus musculus (house mouse). Its description in RNAcentral is "oocyte_clustered_small_RNA8642". The record is from RNAcentral. Lineage: Eukaryota; Metazoa; Chordata; Mammalia; Rodentia; Muridae.